This 64-nucleotide ribosomal RNA is filed under the name Trichoderma asperellum. RNAcentral's name for it is "partial 28S ribosomal RNA". The record is from RNAcentral. Lineage: Eukaryota; Fungi; Ascomycota; Sordariomycetes; Hypocreales; Hypocreaceae.
GUUGACCUCGGAUCAGGUAGGAAUACCCGCUGAACUUAAGCAUAUCAUAAGGCCGAGGAGGAAA